RNAcentral lists this ribosomal RNA (468 nucleotides) under uncultured bacterium. Its description in RNAcentral is "partial 16S ribosomal RNA". It matches the Rfam family "Bacterial small subunit ribosomal RNA", at positions 28 to 507 of the family's 1533-position model. The record is from RNAcentral.
GGCGAACGCUGGCGGCGUGCUUAACACAUGCAAGUCGAACGGAAAGACCCUGUUUUUGUGGGGCGCUCGAGUGGCGAACGGGUGAGUAACACGUGAGUAACCUGCCCUUGACUUUGGGAUAACUUCAGGAAACUGGGGCUAAUACCGGAUAGGAGCUCCUGCUGCAUGGUGGGGGUUGGAAAGUUUCGGCGGUUGGGGAUGGACUCGCGGCUUAUCAGCUUGUUGGUGGGGUAGUGGCUUACCAAGGCUUGGACGGUUAGCCGGCCUGAGUGGGUGACCGGCCAAAUUGGGACUGGGUUACGGCCCGGACUCCUACGGGAGGCAGCAGUGGGGAAUAUUGCACAAUGGGCGGAAGCCUGAUGCAGCAACGCCGCGUGCGGGAUGACGGCCUUCGGUUUUUAAACCGCUUUCGCCUGUAACGAGGCGUGAGUGACGGUAAUGGGUAAAGAAGCACCGGCUAACUACGUG